Molecule: ribosomal RNA, 247 nt
Filed under: uncultured bacterium
Lineage: Bacteria
Description: partial 16S ribosomal RNA
Rfam family: Bacterial small subunit ribosomal RNA
Source: RNAcentral
GCUUGCUUUUUUCUAUGAGAGCGGCGAACGGGUGAGUAACACGUUGGUAUCUGCCCCCAAGUCAGGGAUAGCCAUUGGAAACGAUGAUUAAUACCGGAUAGUCUCUUCGGAGUAAAAAUUUAUUGCUUGGGGAGGAGCCUGCGUUCUAUCAGCUUGUUGGUGAGGUAAUAGCUCACCAAGGCUAUGACGGAUACUUGAUCUGAGAGGAUGAUCAGGCACAAUGGAACUGAGACACGGUCCAUACUCU